UUUUCCUUCAGUUUAUCCUAUAUUUUCAAAAAAGCGUGGGAGGAC
This 45-nucleotide small RNA is filed under the name Arabidopsis thaliana (thale cress). Its description in RNAcentral is "rps3". Lineage: Eukaryota; Viridiplantae; Streptophyta; Magnoliopsida; Brassicales; Brassicaceae. The record is from RNAcentral.